Molecule: ribosomal RNA, 469 nt
Filed under: uncultured bacterium
Lineage: Bacteria
Description: partial 16S ribosomal RNA
Rfam family: Bacterial small subunit ribosomal RNA
Source: RNAcentral
GACGAACGCUGGCGGCGUGCUUAACACAUGCAAGUCGAACGGAAAGGCCCUGCUUUUGUGGGGUGCUCGAGUGGCGAACGGGUGAGUAACACGUGAGUAACCUGCCCUUGACUUUGGGAUAACUUCAGGAAACUGGGGCUAAUACCGGAUAGGAGCUCCUGCUGCAUGGUGGGGGUUGGAAAGUUUCGGCGGUUGGGGAUGGACUCGCGGCUUAUCAGCUUGUUGGUGGGGUAGUGGCUUACCAAGGCUUUGACGGGUAGCCGGCCUGAGAGGGUGACCGGCCCAAUUGGGGCCGGGGUACGGGCCAGACCCCUACGGGGGGGAGGAGUGGGGAAAUUUGGCAAAUGGGCGGAAGCCUGAUGCAGCAACGCCGCGUGCGGGAUGACGGCCUUCGGGUUGGAAACCGCUUUCGCCUGGGACGAAGGGUGGGGGACGGUAAUGGGGAAAGAAGCACCGGCCAACUAAGGGC